Molecule: ribosomal RNA, 229 nt
Filed under: uncultured bacterium
Lineage: Bacteria
Description: partial 16S ribosomal RNA
Rfam family: Bacterial small subunit ribosomal RNA
Source: RNAcentral
UCCGUAGGUGGAUAAUUAAGUCAGAGGUGAAAUCCCACAGCUUAACUGUGGAACUGCCUUUGAUACUGGUUGUCUUGAGUUAUAGUGAAGUAGAUAGAAUAUGUAGUGUAGCGGUGAAAUGCUUAGAUAUUACAUAGAAUACCGAUUGCGAAGGCAGUCUACUAACUAUAUACUGACGCUAAUGGACGAAAGCGUGGGGAGCGAACAGGAUUAGAUACCCUGGUAGUCC